UUUAAGUGCAACCAUAAAUUUUCGCGUCUAAUUUUGAUCGUCCGUCAUAUUUGAAAAAAAUUUAUAAUUAGUAUUUUUAUUGUUAUGAGAUGAUAAAAUAUAAAUAGUAUUUUACUCGUGACUUAUGUUUUUAAUUUUUUUCAGAAAAAAUUUAAAUAAGACGGAUAGUCAAAGUUAGGCGCGGAAAACCAUGACUGCACUUAAA
Molecule: non-coding RNA, 205 nt
Organism: Oryza nivara
Lineage: Eukaryota; Viridiplantae; Streptophyta; Magnoliopsida; Poales; Poaceae
Source: Rfam